AGAGUUUGAUCAUGGCUCAGAUUGAACGCUGGCGGCAUGCUUUACACAUGCAAGUCGAACGGUAACAGGGAGCUUGCUCCGCUGACGAGUGGCGAACGGGUGAGUAAUGCAUCGGAACGUACCCAGUCGUGGGGAUAACGUAGCGAAAGUUACGCUAAUACCGCAUACGUCCUGAGGGAGAAAGCGGGGGACCGUAAGGCCUCGCGCGAUUGGAGCGGCCGAUGUCGGAUUAGCUAGUUGGUAGGGUAAAGGCCUACCAAGGCGACGAUCCGUAGCGGGUCUGAGAGGAUGAUCCGCCACACUGGGACUGAGACACGGCCCAGACUCCUACGGGAGGCAGCAGUGGGGAAUUUUGGACAAUGGGCGAAAGCCUGAUCCAGCCAUGCCGCGUGAGUGAAGAAGGCCUUCGGGUUGUAAAGCUCUUUCAGCCGGAAAGAAAUCGCGCAGGAUAAUACUCUGCGUGGAUGACGGUACCGGAAGAAGAAGCACCGGCUAACUACGUGCCAGCAGCCGCGGUAAUACGUAGGGUGCGAGCGUUAAUCGGAAUUACUGGGCGUAAAGCGUGCGCAGGCGGUUAUGUAAGACAGAUGUGAAAUCCCCGGGCUCAACCUGGGAACUGCGUUUGUGACUGCAUAACUAGAGUACGGCAGAGGGGAGGUGGAAUUCCGCGUGUAGCAGUGAAAUGCGUAGAUAUGCGGAGGAACACCGAUGGCGAAGGCAGCCUCCUGGGCCAGUACUGACGCUCAUGCACGAAAGCGUGGGGAGCAAACA
Molecule: ribosomal RNA, 771 nt
Filed under: uncultured beta proteobacterium
Lineage: Bacteria; Pseudomonadati; Pseudomonadota; Betaproteobacteria
Description: bacterial SSU rRNA
Rfam family: Bacterial small subunit ribosomal RNA
Source: RNAcentral